Molecule: ribosomal RNA, 252 nt
Filed under: uncultured bacterium
Lineage: Bacteria
Description: partial 16S ribosomal RNA
Rfam family: Bacterial small subunit ribosomal RNA
Source: RNAcentral
UACGGAGGAUGCGAGCGUUAUCCGGAUUUAUUGGGUUUAAAGGAUGCGUAGGCGGACUGUCAAGUCAGCGGUAAAAUUGAGAGGCUCAACCUCUUCCCGCCGUUGAAACUGGUGGUCUUGAGUGGAUGAGAAGUACGCGGAAUGCGUGGUGUAGCGGUGAAAUGCAUAGAUAUCACGCAGAACUCCGAUUGCGAAGGCAGCGUACCGGCAUCCAACUGACGCUGAGGCACGAAAGCGUGGGGAUCAAACAGG